Long non-coding RNA from Dendroctonus ponderosae (mountain pine beetle), 386 nucleotides. RefSeq lists it as uncharacterized. NCBI's taxonomy places the organism in Eukaryota, Metazoa, Arthropoda, Insecta, Coleoptera, Curculionidae. The record is from RefSeq and is a predicted model, not a curated record. The transcript has 2 exons.
ACCGGACGAUCAUAAGAAACCUAUGAUCCGUCACUUAACAGCCACUUUUCCAAGUCACUCUCGAGGUGGAACUAUAAAAUGGCUUCUAUCUCAAGGGUCAGAAGUCACUCAACUCGUUCUUCGAUAAGUCUCUCUCAAGUGCCACUUGGCACUUGGACUAUAAAUACGGCCAUAAGUGGUGCCUUAAAAGUGCGAUUUUCUUCGAACAAAACAAAAUUUUCCGGAAAAAGUGCAGAUUGAAAACAGGGACCAAAACCGCUUGAUAGCAACCGAAGACGAACUGGAAACAGCGGCAAGAAGCAUCGGUGAGACAAUCCUACAAGCGUACGCUAGAAGUUCGGUGACUGUGGAGGUGCCGGUGGCUCGUGACGAGUUACCAGCAAACC